RNAcentral lists this ribosomal RNA (407 nucleotides) under uncultured bacterium. RNAcentral's name for it is "partial 16S ribosomal RNA". It matches the Rfam family "Bacterial small subunit ribosomal RNA", at positions 28 to 526 of the family's 1533-position model. The record is from RNAcentral.
GACGAACGCUGGCGGCGUGCCUAAUACAUGCAAGUAGAACGCAGUUGCGAACGGGUGAGGAACGCGUAGGUAACUGCCGCAGAGCGGGGGAUAACUAUUGGAAACGAUAGCUAAUACCGCAUACUGUGAGAGGGACCUGCGUUGUAUUAGCUAGGUGGUGAGGUAAAGGCUCACCAAGGCGACGAUACAUAGCCGACCGUGGAGGGUGAUGCGACCCCCGGGGACUUAGACCCGGGCCCGACUGCCACCGGAGGGAGCAAGAGGGAAUCUUCGGGAAUGGACCGAAGUCCGACGAAGCAACUGCGGGUGAGGGAAGAAGGUUUUCGGAUAGGAAAGACCCGUUGUGAUAGAAGCGGUAACUAGCCAGAAAGGGACGGCUAACUACGUGCCAGCAGCCGCGGUAAUUC